GGGGCAUUAGCUCAGCUGGGAGAGCGCAUGACUGGCAGUCAUGAGGUCAGGAGUUCGAUCCUCCUAUGCUCCACCA
RNAcentral lists this transfer RNA (76 nucleotides) under Candidatus Cloacimonadota bacterium. Its description in RNAcentral is "tRNA-Ala". It matches the Rfam family "tRNA". Rfam says of the family: Transfer RNA (tRNA) molecules are approximately 80 nucleotides in length. Their secondary structure includes four short double-helical elements and three loops (D, anti-codon, and T loops). The record is from RNAcentral. Lineage: Bacteria; Pseudomonadati; Candidatus Cloacimonadota. RNAcentral also lists the same sequence under 2 other names.